AACAAAAAAAAAAAAAAAAAAAAAAAAAAAAAAAAAAAUGCCCAACAAAAAAAAAAAAAAAAAAAAAAAAAAAAAAAAAAAAAAAAUCAAAAAAAUCAAAAAACACCCAAUUUUAUAAAAACCCCCAAACAUUUUUUUUUUUCUUGGUUACAAAAAGUCCAAACAUUUUAUUACAACACAAAACUGUCUUGAAAAUCGUAACUUCAAGCAUG
This 212-nucleotide long non-coding RNA is filed under the name Prunus dulcis (almond). Its description in RNAcentral is "sRNA ncRNA". The record is from RNAcentral. Lineage: Eukaryota; Viridiplantae; Streptophyta; Magnoliopsida; Rosales; Rosaceae.